Molecule: long non-coding RNA, 1473 nt
Filed under: Salmo salar (Atlantic salmon)
Lineage: Eukaryota; Metazoa; Chordata; Actinopteri; Salmoniformes; Salmonidae
Description: lncRNA (ENSSSAG00000099336.1)
Source: RNAcentral
CAAAUAUAGAAAAACCCUUUAAUGAGUAGGUGUGUCCUAACUUUUGACUGGUACUGUCCUCGUUCAGCCAUGACUCUGAGAAACAGGAUAUUACAGUUUCAGGUCCCGUUGAUAUGAUCGUCUCAAAUGAACCUCAUCCAGUUUCUUCUUGCCCACGUAAUCUCGUCAGGGAGCCAGCUCGCUUGCCAGAGCUGCCAACUCGUUGAAGUAGACAUUUUAGUCCAAAUCGAGGUUAGUGAUCGUUGUUCUGAUGUUCGGGUCGUAGGAGAAUUGGUCAGCAGCCGGUAAGAUAUAUAUGAGAGAGAGAGAGAUCAUCAUACUGAAACAGGAAAGGGGGAGAGAGAUGGGAGGGAGGGAAGGAGAGAGAGGUGGAGGGACCUGGAUCUGGGUAUGGGCCGGCAGCUUCUCCGGCUGGUGCCAAAAAUGACAUUCUUUGGCAGGGCACAGGGCUGCUGUAAAGCACUACUCAGGAACACAAUGUUCGGGACGCUGGAUGCAGCAAAGAAGCACUCUUAGAUUAAACAAGACCAAAGCGAUAACUGCUGAGCUCUAAUGGAAAACAACACAGUCGAGGCAUUACUACUGUUGAAACAUUACUGUAACAUUACAGGAACAGUCACUUGCCGAAGUUGUCCUCUUUUUUUGGUCCACUUUGCGGAGUGAUUGAUUGACACUUCCUCCAGCCAAUAGGCCACUCAAUCUCCUGGUUGUGGUCCUGGCCCAACAGAGGGGAGAUGAGAGUUAUUCUGCCUGCAAUGCCAAGGGUAAUGAGAACAACGCCAUCACUGUAUCUGGCUUCCGGGGUCUGUGCCAGUAUAGGGGCCUCUCUCGCCAUCCAUGGCCGAGCUCCCCUCACCCUCAGUCAGCCACAGAUGGGUGAUGUGUCCCCUGGGUGUGGUAGUGGAGAACCAAGAGACUGAGCUGAGACAUCCGGCCAGCUCCUCUAAUGUGCUGUCAGAUAAUUACAUAAAAUGGCCGUCAUUAUAGCAUCUGAACAUCCAUUUGUCUUAUUAAAUGGACAUUUGACAGACUUCCAAUAGCAAUCCAUUAGCUUAUUCAGAUGUCUUGUGAAGAGGCAGGUAGAACUAUUGUUGCAUGCAGGUGUAUUGUUUGUCCACUAGAGAGCAGUGUGUGUUGGACUGUAUUGUAUUUUUUUGCCAGCUCAGACUUGAUUUGUUAACUUCCUGUAUAUUUGUUAUGACUGGUGGAUGAUCAGGGGAAUGUGUCAGGGAUUGACUGGUGGAUUAUCAGGGGAAUGUGUCAGGGAUUGACUGGUGGAUUAUCAGGGGAAUGUGUCAGAGAUUGACUGGUGGAUUAUCAGGGGAAUGUGUCAGGGAUUGACUGGUGGAUUAUCAGGGGAAUGUGUCAGGGAUUGACUGGUGGAUUAUCAGGGGAAUGUGUCAGGGAUUGACUGGUGGAUUAUCAGGGGAAUGUGUCAGGGAUUGACUGGUGGAUUAUCAGGGGAAUGUGUCA